UCUCCAGAUUCUCCUUAUUGAUUUUUACCAAUAAACAACUUUAUCCAUCCUCUUAAUCAAGUAUUAAUUAGACUCUUUCCUCUCCGUUUCAAACUAAAGUUGGUUGGACCACUGUUACCCUGUAGAUGGCCAUGUUGGCUUAUCCAUAGCCUACACUAUCGGUGUACUACGACGGUGCGGCAGAACUUGACAUAAACACUCCACCACUGAGAGGUGGAGACUGGCGCUUGCGUCUGAGUGUGUGUUCUUCUAGGCGUUGAUACUGCGAGCUGUCAUAAAAAGCUGCGGCAGCUUUCGUUUUUCUUCAGCAUCCACACAUCCUUAUUUUAAAUAUAAUUGGAUAAUAACUCUCUGUGUGUCAUCUAAAGGAGCUGGACCGACACAAUAGAAGCUCAGGCCUUUAUACGAAGGUAAGGAUUUUUGUGUUUCAUAGACUCCAUAAAAUUGAUUCGAACGUACCUGUCCAUGUGCAACACCUGUCUACUUCAACGUGUUGGCAACAUGUCGCGGCUAAAGAGUGCACAGUGCUCCAGAGUGAACGUUAAGGUGGUCUACCUGACAGCGCACUGAGAGUUCAUAUUGCUGAUUUUCUCUGAAAAGGCUUUUGUGUUUCUGUGUAAGAUAUGGAGUGUUAAGAGGUGAAAUUCAUAUCUCUUUAGAAACUAGUCAUGUAAGAUUAACCAAAAUUUAGAAUGUAGUAGGCUACAAACUAGUUAUUUAGGCUAGCUAUUUUGGCGGUUUGAACACAAAGUUGGUUCUGACUUCGAAGGGAAACACAAAUUACGUAAUUAUGCUGGAGAACAGGAUAAUUUGUAUGAUUUUGAAAUGUUGCUUCACAAAUUAUCUUAAAACAUAUACAAUCUUACCUUACGACAAACCAUCAAAGGCUGGUGCAAUGUCAUGAAAUACAACACAAUUUCAGUGGUGUCUAUAUGCCCCACAAUAUCUAAUAUUUUCCAUCUAAUAUUCGGCUGGAAGUGUAUUUGUUGGUACGUCCUUGGUGGAUAGAAUUACUUUGUUAUUGCUGGAUCAGUUGAGUUGUUUAAACACCAUACAUGAGACGAGGCUAUAGCUGUUAUUACAGCAGUCAACAUAUCGGAUUUUAAAACUAGCUACAUCACUUUUUAUCGGAGUGUAGGUUACUCUUGCGGUCGCUUAACACAUUGUGCUCGCUCGCUGUCGGUCUAUAUUAACAUAGUAUUUGUCUUGAUAAAGCGUGAUCUCAUGUAGAUUUGUAUGUGUGUGUGUGUGUGUGCGUGCGUAUGGCUGUCUCUCUCUCACUCUCUCUAUCUCUCUCUGUUUGUGUGUGUGUGCGGAAUAUGCGCGUGUUCCCAGUGUUCAGAAUUCGAAAGAAGACAUGAAGGGCAUUACAAAUUUGAGAUAGUUAAUCCCAGACAUUGAUCAUUAACACACAAUCUAUUAAUUCCUUCAACAUAUCGUCGUAUCUUUUAUGUAUGGCAAUACGCAGUGUCAUGGGGCAUACCUGGAGGCUGUCACAUGAUUGUGGGAAACAAUGGAAGGAAGACAAUCCAUGUUGGGCUGUACUGCACAUUCCUGCUCUGUUUAUAUUCAAGAAGCUUUUUUAAUCUGUUGGACACAAUCCAAGUCAAUCAUCUAAGAGAAAGUCUAAGAGGCAUUGUGAUUCCUACCGCAGCAUUCUCAGGCAAUGUUGAUGGGCAACUUUGAAGAUGUUUUGAUGUUGAAACAAUGAAAAGGACAAAUAAAUAAGGCCAACCACUUUCAGGGUUUUGUUUUGGCUACUGAAUAGUUAGUGUUGCUCAUAUUAUCCUCAAUUUACCAUUUAAUCUAAUGUUCAAGAUGAUAUUGCCCCCCCCCCAAAAAAAAGUUCUGAUCUCACACUCAUGUAUAUAUCGGCUGCUCCUUCAGUGCCACCAUUCCUGCUCCAGUGCUGACGCCUGUGCCCCCUCCCACACACACCCCAACCAGCUCCCCAU
Molecule: long non-coding RNA, 1955 nt
Organism: Clupea harengus (Atlantic herring)
Lineage: Eukaryota; Metazoa; Chordata; Actinopteri; Clupeiformes; Clupeidae
Source: Ensembl